AACUGCGAUAAGUAAUGUGAAUUGCAGAAUUCAGUGAAUCAUCGAGUCUUUGAACGCACAUUGCGCCCCCUGGCAUUCCGGGGGGCAUGCCUGUCCGAGCGUCAUUGCUGCCCUUCAAGCCCGGCUUGUGUGUUGGGUCGUCGUCCCCUCCGGGGGACGGGCCCGAAAGGCAGCGGCGGCACCGCGUCCGGUCCUCGAGCGUAUGGGGCUUUGUCACCCGCUCGAUAAGGACCGGCCGGGCGCCAGCCGGCGUCUCCAACCUUUUUUUCUCAGGUUGACCUCGGAUCAGGUAGGGAUACCCGCUGAACUUAAGCA
This 315-nucleotide unclassified non-coding RNA is filed under the name plant metagenome. RNAcentral describes it as "partial contains 5.8S ribosomal RNA, internal transcribed spacer 2, and large subunit ribosomal RNA". The stretch from base 1 to 104 matches the Rfam family "5.8S ribosomal RNA", at positions 51 to 154 of the family's 154-position model. The record is from RNAcentral.